This 253-nucleotide ribosomal RNA is filed under the name uncultured bacterium. RNAcentral's name for it is "partial 16S ribosomal RNA". It matches the Rfam family "Bacterial small subunit ribosomal RNA", at positions 524 to 776 of the family's 1533-position model. The record is from RNAcentral.
UACGUAGGGUGCAAGCGUUGUCCGGAAUUAUUGGGCGUAAAGCGCUCGUAGGCGGUCUGUCACGUCGGCUGUGAAAACCCGAGGCUCAACCUCGGGCCUGCAGUCGAUACGGGCAGACUAGAGUUCGGUAGGGGAGACUGGAAUUCCUGGUGUAGCGGUGAAAUGCGCAGAUAUCAGGAGGAACACCGGUGGCGAAGGCGGGUCUCUGGGCCGAUACUGACGCUGAGGAGCGAAAGCGUGGGGAGCGAACAGG